Molecule: ribosomal RNA, 465 nt
Filed under: uncultured bacterium
Lineage: Bacteria
Description: partial 16S ribosomal RNA
Rfam family: Bacterial small subunit ribosomal RNA
Source: RNAcentral
CCUACGGGAGGCAGCAGUGGGGAAUAUUGCGCAAUGGGCGAAAGCCUGACGCAGCGACGCCGCGUGAGGGAUGAAGGUCUUCGGAUCGUAAACCUCUGUCAGCAGGGAAGAACGGUCACUGUGCUAAUCAGCAGUGAAUUGACGGUACCUGCAAAGGAAGCACCGGCUAACUCCGUGCCAGCAGCCGCGGUAAUACGGAGGGUGCGAGCGUUAAUCGGAAUUACUGGGCGUAAAGCGCUCGUAGGCGGUAUGUCAAGUCAAGGGGGAAAUCCCCGCGCUCAACGUGGGAACGGCCUUUGAAACUGGCAAACUGGAGUGUGUGAGAGGAGAGUGGAAUUCCAGGUGUAGGAGUGAAAUCCGUAGAUAUCUGGAGGAACAUCAGUGGUGAAGGCGACUAUCUGGCACAUAACUGACGCUGAGGAGCGAAAGCGUGGGUAGCAAACAGGAUUAGAUACCCUAGUAGUC